This 59-nucleotide transfer RNA is filed under the name Chiropterargas boueti. RNAcentral's name for it is "Argas boueti tRNA-Leu". The record is from RNAcentral. Lineage: Eukaryota; Metazoa; Arthropoda; Arachnida; Ixodida; Argasidae.
CUUGGCAGAAUAAGUGUGUCAAAUUUAGAAUUUGAGUAUGUAAAUCAGUUAGUAGUUAA